UAGAUUGGCGUGGGCGAUCCAAUGGGAAUGGCCAUUGCGCAUAUCAUGGCAUCAUGCAUGGGGGGUAUUCGGACAGCCGGAGAUCUGGUUGCCUGGAUGC
This is a regulatory RNA element of 100 nucleotides. It matches the Rfam family "Pyrrolysine insertion sequence mtbB". The record is from Rfam.